GCGCGAGUGGCGGAAUUGGUAGACGCACUAGCUUGAGGGGUUAGCGGGAGCGAUCCCGUGCUGGUUCAAAUCCAGUCUCGCGCACCA
RNAcentral lists this transfer RNA (87 nucleotides) under Candidatus Sulfotelmatobacter sp. RNAcentral's name for it is "tRNA-Leu". It matches the Rfam family "tRNA". Rfam says of the family: Transfer RNA (tRNA) molecules are approximately 80 nucleotides in length. Their secondary structure includes four short double-helical elements and three loops (D, anti-codon, and T loops). Lineage: Bacteria; Pseudomonadati; Acidobacteriota; Terriglobia; Terriglobales; Candidatus Korobacteraceae. The record is from RNAcentral. RNAcentral also lists the same sequence under 1 other name.